This 468-nucleotide ribosomal RNA is filed under the name uncultured bacterium. RNAcentral's name for it is "partial 16S ribosomal RNA". It matches the Rfam family "Bacterial small subunit ribosomal RNA", at positions 28 to 507 of the family's 1533-position model. The record is from RNAcentral.
GACGAACGCUGGCGGCGUGCUUAACACAUGCAAGUCGAACGGAAAGGCCCUGCUUUUGUGGGGUGCUCGAGUGGCGAACGGGUGAGUAACACGUGAGUAACCUGCCCUUGACUUUGGGAUAACUUCAGGAAACUGGGGCUAAUACCGGAUAGGAGCUCCUGCUGCAUGGUGGGGGUUGGAAAGUUUCGGCGGUUGGGGAUGUACUCGCGGCUUAUCAGCUUGUUGGUGGGGUAGUGGCUUACCAAGGCUUUGACGGGUAGCCGGUCUGAGAGGGGGACCGGCGACAUUGGGACUGAGGUACGGCCCAGACUCCUACGGGAGGCAACAGUGGGGAAUAUUGCACAAUGGGCGGAAGCCUGAUGCAGCAACGCCGCGUGCGGGAUGACGGCCUUCGGGUUGUAAACCGCUUUCGCCUGUGACGAAGCGUGAGUGACGGUAAUGGGUAAAGAAGCACCGGCUAACUACGUG